GAUGAACGCUGGCGGCGUGCCUAAUACAUGCAAGUCGAGCGAACAGACGAGGAGCUUGCUCCUCUGACGUUAGCGGCGGACGGGUGAGUAACACGUGGAUAACCUACCUAUAAGACUGGGAUAACUUCGGGAAACCGGAGCUAAUACCGGAUAAUAUUUUGAACCGCAUGGUUCAAUAGUGAAAGACGGUUUUGCUGUCACUUAUAGAUGGAUCCGCGCCGCAUUAGCUAGUUGGUAAGGUAACGGCUUACCAAGGCAACGAUGCGUAGCCGACCUGAGAGGGUGAUCGGCCACACUGGAACUGAGACACGGUCCAGACUCCUACGGGAGGCAGCAGUAGGGAAUCUUCCGCAAUGGGCGAAAGCCUGACGGAGCAACGCCGCGUGAGUGAUGAAGGUCUUCGGAUCGUAAAACUCUGUUAUUAGGGAAGAACAAAUGUGUAAGUAACUAUGUACGUCUUGACGGUACCUAAUCAGAAAGCCACGGCUAACUACGUG
RNAcentral lists this ribosomal RNA (497 nucleotides) under uncultured bacterium. RNAcentral's name for it is "partial 16S ribosomal RNA". It matches the Rfam family "Bacterial small subunit ribosomal RNA", at positions 28 to 507 of the family's 1533-position model. The record is from RNAcentral.